ACACCGUGAAGGCAGGAACUCUGGUUUGUUCAUCCUCAGCGUUUAGAACAGCUUGGCACGUAAAGGCUUGCUAACUCUGUCGUUGGAGGAAGCAAGAAUUACAUAUAAAAAUCCAGUGUGUCUCAAUUUAAAGGGUCAUUUUUAUUCCUGGUUACUGAUCCUCUCCUCUUGGUCUCCUCCAAAUGAAAAAGAAGAAAGGGGAAGAGGGAGAAAAGGAACAGCAGCAGUCAUGCUUCAGUAUAAUUUUAUACCAACUGUUUUAGAAUAAAUAUUUAAAAUUGA
Non-coding RNA from Macaca mulatta (Rhesus monkey), 282 nucleotides. NCBI's taxonomy places the organism in Eukaryota, Metazoa, Chordata, Mammalia, Primates, Cercopithecidae. The record is from RefSeq and is a predicted model, not a curated record.